CUGGAAGAAUACACUUAAGGUAGAAAUUGCAGUCUCAUUUCAACUGUAGACCUACUACAUCAAAUUGAACAAAUCCACUUUAAUCUAUACUUUCCCUCUCCUGUGAAUCCUGAUCCACAGCUGCCUACAAACCAAUUGCCAAGUCUGGGAUUGAAUGAUUAAUUGAAAUAGCCACAAGUAAAGGUCACAUGCGGAACAGCCAAAUAGAAAGCAGAUCAUCCAGACCAACCUACUGAAAUGAAAUCAUCAUCUACAUUUCAAAACUCACCAAGCACUCCUUUUCCCUCUGCAUUUAAAGCUAUUUGGCUUUAGUGAGGAGUGGGUUCCUUUACAAAAGAAUGAAGAAUGUCUUUCUACAGCACCCUGUCACUUAAACAUUUCACUGGCAACAUUGAGCAGCAGCCCAAACUGUCAAGAUGUUACAUGUUACAUUAAAUGAAACAGCGAAAGGAAAAUAAUAGUUCAUGAAAAACUUGUGAAAGAAACUGAAAAACAGCAUGGGUCUUCAAAAAUUAUAAUGGAUUAUAACCAUGAAUGCAUGAAUGGGGCAAAUAUCUACCUCAAUACUAGGAUCUUUGAAAAUAUAUACAUUCCAGAAGAGAGAAGACCCCCGUCAGCCGAGGGUGACUCUGGUGAAGGGGUCAGCAGUGAGAUGUUAGCAGCCAACACUUAUAGUGGCUGAUGGAUGGACGCAACCGCCUGGUGAAGGGAAUCUGUGUGGAGCAUCAGAGUCUGCUGCAGUUGG
Odocoileus virginianus texanus is the source of this 745-nucleotide long non-coding RNA. RefSeq lists it as uncharacterized. Lineage: Eukaryota; Metazoa; Chordata; Mammalia; Artiodactyla; Cervidae. The record is from RefSeq and is a predicted model, not a curated record.